GACGAACGCUGGCGGCGUGCUUAACACAUGCAAGUCGAGCGGUAAGGCCUCUUCGGGGGUACACGAGCGGCGCACGGGUGAGUAACACGUGGGUGACCUGCCCUCAGCUCUGGGAUAAGCCUGGGAAACUGGGUCUAAUACCGGAUAUGACCUUUCCUCGCAUGGGGUUUGGUGGAAAGUUUUUUCGGCUGGGGAUGGGCCCGCGGCCUAUCAGCUUGUUGGUGGGGUGAUGGCCUACCAAGGCGACGACGGGUAGCCGGCCUGGGAGGGCGACCGGCCACACUGGGACUGAGACACGGCCCAGACUCCUACGGGAGGCAGCAGGGGGGAAUAUUGCGCAAUGGGCGGAAGCCUGACGCAGCGACGCCGCGUGGGGGAUGACGGCCUUCGGGUUGUAAACCUCUUUCGACCCCGACGAAUUUGGACGGUAGGGGUAGAAGAAGCACCGGCCAACUACGUG
Molecule: ribosomal RNA, 460 nt
Filed under: uncultured bacterium
Lineage: Bacteria
Description: partial 16S ribosomal RNA
Rfam family: Bacterial small subunit ribosomal RNA
Source: RNAcentral